UGUGUUACAAAGCAUUAAUUCUAAUGAUUGUUACCUUUGGAAUCUUAUUUCAAACGAAAAAAUUCAACUCCCACCACUUCCUGCUAAGUGCGACAUAUUAAACUGCCUCUUGUCUGCACCACCUCAUGAUCCCGAAUGUCAAGUUAUCUUCCAAAUUGAGACUACUCUGGAUGAUGAUGACACUAAUGAGGAUGAGGAUGAGCAUGAGAAUGACAACUCUGAUGAGCAUGAGAAUGACAACUCUGAUGAGAACUCAGAUGGGGAUGAGAACUCUGAUGCGGAUGGGGAUGCAGACUCUAUUAAU
Molecule: long non-coding RNA, 304 nt
Filed under: Solanum tuberosum (potato)
Lineage: Eukaryota; Viridiplantae; Streptophyta; Magnoliopsida; Solanales; Solanaceae
Description: long non-coding RNA (STUB_LNC008699)
Source: RNAcentral